GAUGAACGCUGGCGGCGUGCCUAAUACAUGCAAGUCGAGCGAACAGACGAGGAGCUUGCUCCUCUGACGUUAGCGGCGGACGGGUGAGUAACACGUGGAUAACCUACCUAUAAGACUGGGAUAACUUCUGGAAACCAGAGCUAAUACCGGAUAAUAUCUUUAACCGCAUGGUUCAAUAGUGAAAGACGGUUUUGCUUUCACUUAUAGAUGGAUCCGCUCCGCAUUAGCUAGUUGGUAAGGUAACGGCUUACCAAGGCAACGAUGCGUAGCCGACCUGGGAGGGUGAUCGGCCACACUGGAACUGAGACACGGUCCAGACUCCUACGGGAGGCAGCAGUAGGGAAUCUUCCGCAAUGGGCGAAAGCCUGACGGAGCAACGCCGCGUGAGUGAGGAAGGUCUUCGGAUCGUAAAACUCUGUUAUUAGGGAAGAACAAAUGUGGAAGUAACUAUGCACGUCUUGACGGUACCUAAUCAGAAAGCCACGGCUAACUACGUG
Molecule: ribosomal RNA, 497 nt
Filed under: uncultured bacterium
Lineage: Bacteria
Description: partial 16S ribosomal RNA
Rfam family: Bacterial small subunit ribosomal RNA
Source: RNAcentral